GACGCUGGGCUCCACUGCGAGGACUGACCAGGACCGUGGGCCGCAGGGACCGACCGCGGAAACCGAGACUCGCAGGCUCAAGCGCGGAGCUCGCUAAAGCCGGGAGAUGCGGCAGUGAACCCAGGCGACCGACGCGGAAAGAACGUGGGGAGUCUGGGCAUCAGGAUUGCCGGGCUGAAGGAGAGACCAGAUACGAUAUCCAACCCCUCCGUUUUCCAGCUCAGGAAUCCGAUAUAGAGAAGCUGAGAAAUAAAUUAUGUUGCUGAGGCUGAAGAUAAGGCACAGAAGUGUGGCUCCUGCUAUCUGAGGGAAAGACAGGACCCUGGAGUUGGCCAGGAGCCAUUCCUUCCGCAGAGUCUUGUCCAGAAGUAUGGCUUCCAUCUGCAUGUGUGUGGCCAGGAUCACACACACAUGGAACAGCUGGUGACUGUGACC
Manis pentadactyla (Chinese pangolin) is the source of this 435-nucleotide long non-coding RNA. RefSeq lists it as uncharacterized. The record is from RefSeq and is a predicted model, not a curated record. The transcript is spliced from 3 exons. Lineage: Eukaryota; Metazoa; Chordata; Mammalia; Pholidota; Manidae.